Non-coding RNA from Poecilia reticulata (guppy), 472 nucleotides. Lineage: Eukaryota; Metazoa; Chordata; Actinopteri; Cyprinodontiformes; Poeciliidae. The record is from RefSeq and is a predicted model, not a curated record.
AGGCGUUAACUGUUUCCGUGAAACACCAACGGUGAGCUUCAAUGACACCAAAUUUGCAGACUAUAGUGAGGAGCAGUCUAUUAUUUUCAACUACCUUCAAACUUACCUCUCCAACAACCCGCUGUUGGUCAGCGGAAGCCUGAUGGACCACGUAUUUCCGGCUGGAAGAGGGAGGUAUGAAGUGACUCCUCUUUUUACUCCAAAGCAAGUGAGCACUCCAGGUUCAUCGGCUGCGUCAUCUGACCUGUGCUGCUGAGUCAGUGUGACAUCACGUUUACCUCUCCGGCCUAAAGAUGCGCACAAGACAAAUCGAGUGUGACCUUUUGUGGCUCUGAGCUUACUCCAUGGCUAGUCCUGUUUUAAAUCGGUGACCAUUCAGCGCCAAGCUGGACCCGAGGACUCAGCCUCCCGACACCCAUUCCUGUUCCACCGCCCCGGCCCCUGAACACUCCUCGGAUCACAGACGCAUACC